CCGCCCCCCCCCCGCUCCCUCACGUCUCCUCACGCUCCCCCCUCUCCCUCCCUCUCCCUCCUCCCAUCGUCAGGCUCCCCGCCCUUAGUAUCGCGAGACGAGGUGAGAGUGGCGGAGCGGCGGCGGCGGCGGCGCAGUAGAGGUGACCGAGGCGGUGGCGGCGGAGGCGGCACCGAGUGGUGUGUCGGCCCCGGUGAGGCCGAAGUCGCGGUAGAGCGUAGCCCCCACGCCCCUCCCCCGCCCGCGCCCUCCUCUUUCCCCGGGGAUGGAGAAGGCGACGGUUCCGGUGGCGGCGCGGCGGCGGCGGCUGAGGGAGAAGGGAGCCACCCGCGCGGUGGUGGCUGUGGCGGGGCCCCCCGCGGCGGCGGCGGCGGUGGAGGUCGGCGGAGGCGUUGGCGGCGGCAGCGGGGCUCGCUCGGCCUCGUCUCCUCGUGGGUGGUGCGAGUCUGCGACCUGCUCCUGAGAAGAAGAAGCCGCCGCAGCAGCAACACCACAAGGCCAAGCGUAACCGGACUUGCCGACCCCCCAGCAGCAGCGAAAGCAGCAGCGACAGCGACAACAGCGGCCGGCGGUGGAGGCGGAGGAGGAGGAGGUGGCGGCGGCGGCGGCCACAGCACAAACAACGUGAGGAAGAAGAGGACGACGACGACGAGGAAGAGGAGGUGCUGUUGUCGCUGUCGCUGCUGCUUUCGCUGCUGCUGGGGGGUCGGCAAGUCCGGUUACGCUUGGCCUUGUGGUGUUGCUGCUGCGGCGGCUUCUUCUUCAGGAGCAGGUCGCAGACUCGCACCAUCCCACGAGGAGACGAGCCGAGCGAGCCCCGCUGCCGCCGCCAACGCCUCCGCCGACCUCCACCGCCGCCGCCGCCGCGGGGGGCCCGCCACAGCCACCACCGCCGGGGGCUCCCUUCUCCCUCAGCCGCCGCCGCCGCGCCGCCACCGGAACCGUCGCCUUCUCCAUCCCCGGGGAAAGAGGGAGGGCGCGGGCGGGGGAGGGGCGUGGGGGCUACGCUCUACCGCGACUUCGGCCUCACCGGGGCCGACACAGCCACUCGGUGCCGCCUCCGCCGCCACCGCCUCGGUCACCUCUACUGCGCCGCCGCCGCCGCCGCUCCGCCAGCUCUCACCUCGUCUCGCGAUACUAAGGGCGGGGAGCCUGACGAGGGAGGGAGGGAGAGGGAGGGAGAGGGGGGAGCGUGAGGAGCGUGAGGGAGCGGGGGGGGGGCGGUUAGAGGCAAAGAGGGAGACCGGGUGUCGGGAGACCCAGCGGAAGGGAGACUACCCAGAGACCAGGGAAGUGUGCCUAAGGCGACUUCCGAUGGGGGGACGGUGA
This 1329-nucleotide long non-coding RNA is filed under the name Camelus dromedarius (Arabian camel). Its description in RNAcentral is "lncRNA (ENSCDRG00005019825.1)". The record is from RNAcentral. Lineage: Eukaryota; Metazoa; Chordata; Mammalia; Artiodactyla; Camelidae.